CCGAUGAUGCUCUUGUGUGAAUCAAUGAUUCAUUUGAACCAUUCUCUGAUAAAAAUUCGAGGUUUUUCUGAGAUCGAAAGAUCGAUGAUUUUUUUUUGGUUCUGUUAGGGUUCCUUCGAGCCUCUAUCUUCACGAUUUGUGACCAUUCCUUCUUUAUUGAACGGUUCAAUCGUUUAUUGUGAAAUUUUCGGAGAUUUUCCGGUGAGUUUUCAACCUCUAGGGUUUUCUGGUGGUCAAAACAGUUGUUUGAUUGCCAUCCGGUGGUUUGAUACUCAUUUUGCUGAGGUUUUGGUGGUUGUCACUACUGUUGCGACAUCAUUGACGGUAUUUGCGGUAAAGUUUUGACGGUUACUUCUA
This 357-nucleotide long non-coding RNA is filed under the name Nicotiana benthamiana. Its description in RNAcentral is "long non-coding RNA (NBEN_LNC035327)". Lineage: Eukaryota; Viridiplantae; Streptophyta; Magnoliopsida; Solanales; Solanaceae. The record is from RNAcentral.